Molecule: ribosomal RNA, 476 nt
Filed under: Prevotella pallens
Lineage: Bacteria; Pseudomonadati; Bacteroidota; Bacteroidia; Bacteroidales; Prevotellaceae
Description: bacterial SSU rRNA
Rfam family: Bacterial small subunit ribosomal RNA
Source: RNAcentral
GAUGAACGCUAGCUAUAGGCUUAACACAUGCAAGUCGAGGGGAAACGGCAUUAUGUGCUUGCACAUUUUGGACGUCGACCGGCGCACGGGUGAGUAUCGCGUAUCCAACCUGCCCUUUACUUGGGGAUACCCCGUUGAAAGACGGCCUAAUACCCGAUGUAAUUCAUUGAUGGCAUCAGAUAUGAAUAAAAGAUUUAUCGGUAAAGGAUGGGGAUGCGUCUGAUUAGCUUGUUGGUGAGGUAACGGCUCACCAAGGCAACGAUCAGUAGGGGUUCUGAGAGGAAGGUCCCCCACAUUGGAACUGAGACACGGUCCAAACUCCUACGGGAGGCAGCAGUGAGGAAUAUUGGUCAAUGGGCGCAAGCCUGAACCAGCCAAGUAGCGUGCAGGAAGACGGCCCUAUGGGUUGUAAACUGCUUUUAUACGAGAAUAAUUUGAUGCACGUGUGCGUUAUUGCAUGAUCGAUGAAUAAGACC